GAUGAACGCUAGCGGCAGGCUUAACACAUGCAAGUCGAGGGGCAGCACGUCUUCGGAUGGUGGCGACCGGCGCACGGGUGAGUAACGCGUAUGCAAUCUACCUUUUACAGGGGCAUAGCCCGGGGAAACCCGGAUUAAUAUCCUAUAGUACCAUUAUAUAGCAUUAUAUUAUGGUUAAAGUUUCGGCGGUAAAAGAUGAGCAUGCGUCCUAUUAGCUUGAUGGUAAGGUAACGGCUUACCAUGGCUAUGAUAGGUAGGGGUCCUGAGAGGGAGACCCCCCACACUGGUACUGAGACACGGACCAGACUCCUACGGGAGGCAGCAGUGAGGAAUAUUGGACAAUGGGCGCAAGCCUGAUCCAGCCAUGCCGCGUGCAGGAAGACGGCCCUAUGGGUUGUAAACUGCUUUUAUACGGGAAGAAACACCCCUUCGUGAAGGGACUUGACGGUACCGUAUGAAUAAGGAUCGGCUAACUCCGUGCCAGCAGCCGCGGUAAUACGGAGGAUCC
RNAcentral lists this ribosomal RNA (508 nucleotides) under uncultured bacterium. Its description in RNAcentral is "bacterial SSU rRNA". It matches the Rfam family "Bacterial small subunit ribosomal RNA", at positions 28 to 535 of the family's 1533-position model. The record is from RNAcentral.